CUGAUGCCAUUUUGGUGUUUUUUCUGUAAACUUUUGAUAUCUAGCAAUGCCUCUGCUUGCUUUUAUUUAAAUGAAAAUCCACGCUAAGCAUACGUAGCACCACAACACCGAGGAGCUGACAGUACUGCUUUGGUGCACCGGAGAUUAAGAAGAAUGAACCAAGAAGUUCAAAUUGCUGUCAGUUCCUGCAUCAAAUCAAAAGCCUACCUAUGUCUGCAUUCACACGGAGGGAGCUGAUUGCUCAGAGUACCAGAAAAGGAGGACAGGACACCCAAAGGAACUUAGAUUAACGUUACCUGCUUGCUGAGAUGGCCUGCUGCCGUGGACGUGAUGGAGGGGCACACAUUGACCUGCCUUCAUUCUGUAUAUCCCCAAGAUGGAGAGAGCGUCGUUAUCGAGGCGUAUCUUUUGAAGCAGUGAAUAAGUAAAGAAAACCACGAGGUGGUAGAGCAGAACAUAGGGAAGGACGGCCCAUCUCCAAGCACCUGAGGCACGUCCUAUUGGUCUUGCUUUAAAGAGAGCCCAUUCCACGUAGCCUGAUGCUCAAAGAGAAGCUUUGCAUCAAGUGCUGCUCCACGACUUCUCCCAGUCAUUACCUGGAAGCUGCAUCCUUCAUUAAUCCCAUGCAUGGCAACGAGACGUCUGCUCACGGCUUCCCCCAGCGUGCCUUCCUGAUGUGCUGCUGCAGCAGGAGAGAAAGUUUUGGUGGCGCUGACGCUGGGAGGUGACAGGAGAAGAGGUGUGCUCAGCCUUUUGCACUGCACGGGAUGCAUCUGUGUGUGCACGGGGGGGCACACGGGUUGGUCAGCACAGUGUGUGUGCCCAGUGCAUUUUUCCACGCCACGCUGACGUGGAGCCUCCUCACCUCCAUCCACAUCCAUCUGUUGUUCCCCUCCGUCAGCGACUUUGCGAGAUGAUUGAUCUCAGGCUUAGGUCAUUUUUCAAGUUGCAGAUCUUGUCAAUCUGUCUGGCUCCACCUACAUGCAGUGAUUCAGCUCCUGAUGUGCUGAAAUAUUCCCCUAAGCCUUCCCACACACCACCGAGGGCUUUUUUUAUAGUCCUUCUCCAGGCUGCACCACCUCUCCCGCGCUGUGCUCAAAGCGUGUGUUCUUUGCAUGAUGUUUGCAUGAUUCCUUUUGCUCGGAGAGCAGUGCAGAAAGUCGAGUUAGAGCUCCUGAAGAGUUAGGAGAGCCACUGCAAAACACGCUCCCCACCUAAAGGCUGGAUCCCGUGUAUCACAUUUGGCUAAUGUGCUGUGAUUAAAGGAACUGGAGACAAGCGUGGGGCUUUCCCCCCCUCCCCGCCCCGUCCCUGUACCUUCAGGUAUUCUCUCUUUAGGACUUGGUCUUUGUAACAGUUAAUAUUCUCGGUAGGGUGUUGCAAGUUCUGCAUUUGCACACUUGACCUGAAAUAGAAGUGGCUGUCACAGAAUUAUGGAGGGAGUUACACUCGCGUGGCUACGGUGGUAAUAAUAACUUUGCUGUAGUUAUAUUGAUCUAUUUCCACAUCCAGAAAACGGCUUAAUGUGCUCUUACACCUCUGCUUUGCCUUCAGUACAGCGUUCUUAACUCCCUGCCUGUGUGCAGGGGGUGGCUUUGGGUGACAGCCAUGCUCUGAGGAUGCUCAGCUGAGGACGGUGCCAGCACAGUGCUGAGCCCUCUUUGCACAGCGACUGCAGACAGCAGAGGGCUGUGCUGGAGGCACAGCUGAGAGGUGUGAGACCCACAGCAGCUCUUGGGGGCAGCUCCCCAACUUGGGGCUGCUUGGCAAAUGGCUGCAGAGCAGCAGCAGAGGGAAUUGGGAGCGAGCCCUGAUAGGAAAUGGGGAAGCCGUAAGCAAGCAUUGUGCAGGUGGGCUUGGAAGCAGCAGUGCCAGCCUUCUCCUUUCAGUUGUGUUCGGGGAAGUUGGAUCUUAGAAUCACAGCAUCAUUAGGACUGGAAAAGACCUCUAAGAUGACCAAACCCACCCCACAGUGCCCACCGACUGCCCCCGGGUGCCACUCCUCCACUGUUCUUCAUUGUGGCGAUGGAGUUUUUGGUAGGCAAGUGGAGUUGUGCUAAAGAAUGCGUCUAAUUUAUGUAAUCCGUGUUCUGUUAAUGAAGCCGAGUGUUUUAAGGACUUGCUAAUUACACAGGUUAAAAAAGGAGGUAACUUAGGGUCACGAGUGAAAUUAAGAAGCGAAGGAAAGAAGAAAAAGCCUGAGCUGCCUGUGCUGAAAAUGGAACAGAGCACAGGCAUAACAUCUAGAAACCAGAUUUGCCGAAAGAAAAGCUUGAAAUAAGAGCUGGCACUUCCCUGGGUGUUGUGGGACGUGACGCAGUGACUUCCCAAAAGGGCUGAGAGCGCAGCGUGGGCAAAAGUGACAGCGUUUGGAGCUGCUGUUGCAGUUGCUGGGGUGACUUCGGGAGCCCAUGCACAGCAUUCCUUAUGGAGCUUCGGGAUGGCAUCGGCUCAGGCUGCACAGAGCCACAAAGGAUGGGGAGGACCUCAGAGAGCACCAACCCACCCCACUGUGUCCCCACGGGCCACAUCUGCACUGUUCUUGGCCGCCUCUGGGAGUUUUUGGGGGGGCUUUUUUAUGCCUAUCUGGAAAUAGGAGAAGCGGGGAAUGGAGAGGUUGCACCGUUCCGUUGCAAGUAAUGGAAAAGCCACUAUUUUUAGUGGUUGGAUGGGGGUGAUUCAGCUCACCGAACGAAAUAUUCG
Molecule: long non-coding RNA, 2703 nt
Organism: Gallus gallus (chicken)
Lineage: Eukaryota; Metazoa; Chordata; Aves; Galliformes; Phasianidae
Source: Ensembl